RNAcentral lists this transfer RNA (65 nucleotides) under Cephenemyia trompe. RNAcentral's name for it is "tRNA-Leu". The record is from RNAcentral. Lineage: Eukaryota; Metazoa; Arthropoda; Insecta; Diptera; Oestridae.
ACUAUUUUGGCAGAUUAGUGCAAUAGAUUUAGAAUUUAUUUAUGUAAUUUAUAUUACAAGUAGUA